RNAcentral lists this ribosomal RNA (465 nucleotides) under uncultured bacterium. RNAcentral's name for it is "partial 16S ribosomal RNA". It matches the Rfam family "Bacterial small subunit ribosomal RNA", at positions 28 to 506 of the family's 1533-position model. The record is from RNAcentral.
GAUGAACGCUGGCGGCGUGCUUAACACAUGCAAGUCGAACGAUGAAGCCCAGCUUGCUGGGUGGAUUAGUGGCGAACGGGUGAGUAACACGUGAGUAACCUGCCCUUAACUCUGGGAUAAGCCUGGGAAACUGGGUCUAAUACCGGAUAGGAGCGUCCACCGCAUGGUGGGUGUUGGAAAGAUUUAUCGGUUUUGGAUGGACUCGCGGCCUAUCAGCUUGUUGGUGAGGUAAUGGCUCACCAAGGCGACGACGGGUAGCCGGCCUGAGAGGGUGACCGGCCACACUGGGACUGAGACACGGCCCAGACUCCUACGGGAGGCAGCAGUGGGGAAUAUUGCACAAUGGGCGCAAGCCUGAUGCAGCGACGCCGCGUGAGGGAUGACGGCCUUCGGGUUGUAAACCUCUUUCAGUAGGGAAGAAGCGAAAGGGACGGGACCGGCAGAAGAAGCACCGGCUAACUACGU